Molecule: transfer RNA, 75 nt
Filed under: Rickettsia prowazekii
Lineage: Bacteria; Pseudomonadati; Pseudomonadota; Alphaproteobacteria; Rickettsiales; Rickettsiaceae
Also listed under: 64 other names
Description: tRNA-Asn
Rfam family: tRNA
About the family: Transfer RNA (tRNA) molecules are approximately 80 nucleotides in length. Their secondary structure includes four short double-helical elements and three loops (D, anti-codon, and T loops). Further hydrogen bonds mediate the characteristic L-shaped molecular structure. tRNAs have two regions of fundamental functional importance: the anti-codon, which is responsible for specific mRNA codon recognition, and the 3' end, to which the tRNAs corresponding amino acid is attached (by aminoacyl-tRNA synthetases). tRNAs cope with the degeneracy of the genetic code in two manners: having more than one tRNA (with a specific anti-codon) for a particular amino acid; and 'wobble' base-pairing, i.e. permitting non-standard base-pairing at the 3rd anti-codon position.
Source: RNAcentral
UCCUCGGUAGCUCAGUGGUAGAGCAAACGGCUGUUAACCGUUCGGUCGCUGGUUCGAGUCCGGCCCGGGGAGCCA